UUAGAACCCUUAACCAACAUUAAGAAGUCUAGCUACACUCCUGGAGUCCAGCUAACAUGGAGAAACCAUACAGAGAGGCCACAUGGAGCGGUGGGGACAUGAGAAUGUGCAGGGAGGGAGAGGAGUCCAGCUGCCUCAUAAUCCUACCGGAGCCCAGGCAUCAGCCAUCUCUGCCAACCUGCAGCACGAGUGAGGACGCGAGUGUGCCACCUGGCAAGUGGAUCCUCUGGCCCCAGUCAAGGAGCUGCAGCUGAUGGUGCAUGGAGCAGAGAGAAACUGCCCUGCUGAGCCCUGCCAAAAUCAUAAAAUUGACUCUAUGCUCCACUCCAG
This 330-nucleotide long non-coding RNA is filed under the name Homo sapiens (human). RNAcentral describes it as "HSALNT0100642". The record is from RNAcentral. Lineage: Eukaryota; Metazoa; Chordata; Mammalia; Primates; Hominidae.